AAAAAAAAAACAACAACUCCCCCCUCCUAAGUUUAGUGCAUUUAACUCUAUAAAUAUCUAUUGAACACUUACUGGAUGCCAGGCACUUUUCUAGGCACUGGGCAGCUAGCAUUAAACAGGAGGCAGAAACCCCUGCCUUCAACAAAAUCUAUGCUGUGUUGAAUAAGUGAUACAGGGAAAAGCUGAAGAUGGGGAGAGAGGUGGGGAGGGUAUAGAGGAUGGGAAGAAAUUUACAAAAGAGGCAGGGAGGGCUUUACUGAGAAGGUGACUAUGAAGGAAGUGAAGGAAGGGCAUUGCAGGCCAGGGGCUCAUUGUGUGCAAGGGCCCUGGGGUGGAAGUGAUCAUGCAGUGGCGUGAGUGUGGGUUUGAGUAGCAGGUGAUGGUUAGAGGUAAUACGUGGCCACCAAAAGGACUCAGUGGCGGCCGGGCGUGAGCCACCACGCCCGGCCUAUAGUCAUGAUUUUAUUUAUUUAUUUUGAGACACAGUCUCCCUCUGUUGCCCAGGCUGGAGUGCAGUGGUGUGACCUCAGCUCACCGCAGUGCCCCCUGGGUUCAAGCGAUUCUUGUGCCUCAGCCUCCCAAGUAGCUGGGAUUACAGGCAUGCACCACCACACUCAGCUAAUUUUUGUGUUUUUAGUAGAGAUGGGGUUUCGCUAUGUUGGCUAGACUGGUCUUGAACUCCUGUCAUCAAGUGAUCCGCCCG
RNAcentral lists this long non-coding RNA (703 nucleotides) under Pan troglodytes (chimpanzee). Its description in RNAcentral is "long non-coding RNA NONPTRT004928". Lineage: Eukaryota; Metazoa; Chordata; Mammalia; Primates; Hominidae. The record is from RNAcentral.